This 397-nucleotide long non-coding RNA is filed under the name Rattus norvegicus (Norway rat). RNAcentral's name for it is "long non-coding RNA NONRATT029526". Lineage: Eukaryota; Metazoa; Chordata; Mammalia; Rodentia; Muridae. The record is from RNAcentral.
GGGCACUGGAGCUGGAAAGGCCAGGAGGGCGGGGCUCGAAGUUGAGGGCGUGACCAAAUUGAUCGAGUACGGUGGAAGAGGUGCAGUGUAUUGCAAAUAGGGCGGAGGUCUUCCUACUGGAGUAGCAGCUUUAAGCUAGAGGAAAGGACAUCUAGAUUCCCUUUGAACAUGCAAUCCGACCCAUUCUCUGUAGAUUUUUUGCCACUCAAAUGCGAUGCCUGCUCCGGCAUCUUCUGCGCAGACCAUGUGGCCUACGCCCAUCAUCACUGUGGAUCAGCUUACCAAAAGGAUAUCCAGGUACCUGUGUGCCCGCUCUGUAAUGUGCCUGUGCCGGUAGCCAGAGGGGAGCCUCCUGACCGGGCCGUAGGAGAGCAUAUUGACAGAGACUGUCGCUCUG